RNAcentral lists this ribosomal RNA (253 nucleotides) under uncultured bacterium. RNAcentral's name for it is "partial 16S ribosomal RNA". It matches the Rfam family "Bacterial small subunit ribosomal RNA", at positions 524 to 776 of the family's 1533-position model. The record is from RNAcentral.
UACGGAGGGAGCUAGCGUUGUUCGGAAUUACUGGGCGUAAAGCGCACGUAGGCGGCUAUUCAAGUCGGGGGUGAAAGCCCGGGGCUCAACCCCGGAACUGCCCUCGAAACUAGGUAGCUAGAAUCUUGGAGAGGCGAGUGGAAUUCCGAGUGUAGAGGUGAAAUUCGUAGAUAUUCGCAAGAACACCAGUGGCGAAGGCGGCUCACUGGCCCGGUACUGACGCUGAGGUGCGAAAGCGUGGGGAGCAAACAGG